This 513-nucleotide ribosomal RNA is filed under the name uncultured bacterium. RNAcentral describes it as "partial 16S ribosomal RNA". The record is from RNAcentral.
CACGUAGUUAGCCGGGGCUUCUUCUGGAGGUACCGUCACCCUCUGGGCUGUUAACCCGAGUGGCUUCGUCCCUCCUGAAAGCGGUUUACAACCCGAAGGCCUUCUUCCCGCACGCGGCGUCGCUGCGUCAGGCUUUCGCCCAUUGCGCAAGAUUCCCCACUGCUGCCUCCCGUAGGAGUCUGGGCCGUGUCUCAGUCCCAGUGUGGCUGAUCGUCCUCUCAGACCAGCUAUGGAUCGUCGCCUUGGUGGGCCAUUACCCGCACCAACAAGCUAAUCCACCGCGGACCCAUCCUCGGCCAGAGGCCGAAGCUACCUUUUCCCACGUUCCCGCAGGGAUGUGGGGCUAUCCGGCAUUAAUCCGAGUUUCCCCGGGCUAUUCCGGUGCCGAGGGCAGGUUAUCCACGUGUUACUCACCCGUUCGCCGCUGUCCCCGGGACCGAAGUCCCGGUUCUCGCUCGACUUGCAUGUGUUAGGCGCGCCGCCAGCGUCGUCUCGUAGCACGGAGUCAACUAC